Molecule: ribosomal RNA, 505 nt
Filed under: uncultured bacterium
Lineage: Bacteria
Description: partial 16S ribosomal RNA
Rfam family: Bacterial small subunit ribosomal RNA
Source: RNAcentral
GACGAACGCUGGCGGCGCGCCUAAUACAUGCAAGUAGAACGCACAGUUUAUACCGUAGCUUGCUACACCAUAAACUGUGAGUUGCGAACGGGUGAGUAACGCGUAGGUAACCUGCCUGGUAGCGGGGGAUAACUAUUGGAAACGAUAGCUAAUACCGCAUAAUAUUGAUUAUUGCAUGAUAAUUGAUUGAAAGAUGCUAUUGCAUCACUACCAGAUGGACCUGCGUUGUAUUAGCUAGUAGGUGAGGUAACGGCUCACCUAGGCGACGAUACAUAGCCGACCUGAGAGGGUGAUCGGCCACACUGGGACUGAGACACGGCCCAGACUCCUACGGGAGGCAGCAGUAGGGAAUCUUCGGCAAUGGACGAAAGUCUGACCGAGCAACGCCGCGUGAGUGAAGAAGGUUUUCGGAUCGUAAAGCUCUGUUGUAAGAGAAGAACGGGUGUGAGAGUGGAAAGUUCACACUGUGACGGUAUCUUACCAGAAAGGGACGGCUAACUACGUG